Cricetulus griseus (Chinese hamster) is the source of this 119-nucleotide ribosomal RNA. Lineage: Eukaryota; Metazoa; Chordata; Mammalia; Rodentia; Cricetidae. The record is from Ensembl.
UCCUAGGCCAUACUACUCUGAACAUACCUGGUAGCAUCUGGUCACAGAAGCUAAACAGACUUGGCCAUGGUUGGUAUUUAAAGGGGAGAAUUUAAUAAAGUGAAGAUGCGCCUUUGUAU